UAGCUCAUCACAAUUUGUGGAAGAAGAAAGCAGAACUGAGGCUCCGCCCGAAACUUGAGGUGCAGCGACAAGGCGCACACCUGAGAAGAAGCCCUAUGGAGGGGCAAAGAUGACGACUUUUCGUGCCACUAAGAAAGGUUGUCUCUGCCGGUGUCGAGGUGGGACAGAACACCUAAGGACAGGUGGUCCUAGAGUAGCACGGGGAGCAGGUAGUACGGUGCGUGCAUAAGGCCCUCGAAUAUGCAGGCGUGCUACUCCCCCGUGAAGAACUGAGCAAGCAGGACUGCUGGAUGUCCCUUCAGCCCAUCCGAUGCAGCUGUGUGACUUUGAGGUAUGUGGUCGAUACGCAGGGCACCCAGGGCAGCGGAUGGAAGGUUUGUUCAUCAAGAGCACAGUCCCAUGGGGUUCAGUCUGCAUGGAUGUAGCAGAACCAAUGGGGACAACAGGAAAGAGAGGU
This is a long non-coding RNA of Xiphophorus hellerii (green swordtail), 457 nucleotides long. RefSeq lists it as uncharacterized. The record is from RefSeq and is a predicted model, not a curated record. The transcript has 3 exons. NCBI's taxonomy places the organism in Eukaryota, Metazoa, Chordata, Actinopteri, Cyprinodontiformes, Poeciliidae.